GUUCCUUCUGGAACCUUCGACUUAUGCCCGUGUAGUGUAUAAGCACAUCUUGUUUGACAGUGAGGGUCAUACUAUAGUGACGCAGUCGUGCUUGUACAGGACAGCAAACACACCAGCAAUAAGGACAUUGUUUCCCAAGUUUCUCAGACGCUGAUACAACUGUGGACUCAUUGCUGAAAUUCCGUCACAACCAAUCAAGAAAGGCAAGCUCAAAGUAAUUAAUGGAUGAAGAAGCACAAGCAUCAAAGCAUGGCAAGGAGACUGUAAAGACUAAAUUUCAUGGAAACUCUACAUCAACUGUUUGACAUUGCUGCCUGCUAAUGUGAGGAUCUUGGUACAUGCAUAUGUAAUAUGAAAGUAUCACAAGCGAAGGUGUCAGUUUUUUAUGGACCAGAGAACCACAGGAAAAAUGCUAAUUGGUACAACAACAACAGGACAGGAAAUAUGUACCAGUAUCAACCAUUGCUUUGAAGGCAGACCGAUAUGUGGAAGAGACCAAUUGGAAAUGCAUUGACUAAUUGCGCAUUAUUGCCACUUUCUGAUUUCGACUCAUUGCCAACUGUGAUCCUCUUCCAGAAAUAGAAGUCGGCGAACUUAGUGAUGACCAAGCAUACCUGUACAAAAUGAUCACAGCUAUUAGAAGUGGAAGCAUCCGUGACAAUUUACAGCAGAAAAAGCCUGGGCGCAUGUCCAUGGCAAGAUGGUUCACAACUGCUAGCAAGAUAUGUGGCAACAGUGCAGCCUAGUAACAAACUGUAAUCCCUGACACACUUUAUUGUCUACUUGCUAUGGACCUACAUGGUUUAGCAUUAAGUGUUGCCCAAGAUGCACUGAUGAACCAAAGCACUUCAACAAAUUAACCAGCAGAUUUUGCUAUCAUCAGCCUGCAGGAAUAUAACAUGGCCCAUAGUGCAACGGAAUGCACGCUGGGCCCAUCAGGAAAAUGUUGAUUCUUGGAGAUGACGAUGAAGUCAAUAGGAAAGCAACAAAAAGGGAAACGUUUAAAAAAUUAGAUUUUUGCUUUUUUGGGGACAGAAAAAGGGAGGUGUUCUGCUCAUUGCAGAUUUCUCUGCUAUACAUUUUUGAACUCAGCAUAGCUGGUUGUACAAAACCUCAAAUGUGCCCGUUGAUCCGUUACAAUUCAUUAGCUGAUGCUACACCCUUAUGCACAAUACAGCUGUGGUAGUCCUGUGCUUGCUGUUGUAUAGACUCAGACUGUAUUACAUGUACAGAAUUUUGCUUGAUGUGAUCUAAUUUUGUAAACCACAUGGGCUGUUUAUCAAUAGUUUUUUUUUUCCACUCCCUUCCACCUAUUUACUAUGCUUCUGAAUAAAUCAUAAAUGUGAUUUAAAAUUGUAGGAACCCACAAAUAUUUUAAUCUUCUAUUUAUCACUGUCAGUUUAAAAAAAAUAUUAUUAAUUUUUAAUAAACAGCACAGGAGUUUGC
Long non-coding RNA from Pomacea canaliculata, 1446 nucleotides. RefSeq lists it as uncharacterized. The transcript is spliced from 2 exons. The record is from RefSeq and is a predicted model, not a curated record. Lineage: Eukaryota; Metazoa; Mollusca; Gastropoda; Architaenioglossa; Ampullariidae.